Molecule: long non-coding RNA, 414 nt
Filed under: Carica papaya (papaya)
Lineage: Eukaryota; Viridiplantae; Streptophyta; Magnoliopsida; Brassicales; Caricaceae
Description: long non-coding RNA (CPAP_LNC009139)
Source: RNAcentral
UCGCUUGUGUUUUCGAAAUAUAAUUUUGAUAUGUGUGUAUAAUUCAUUAUGGAAAGAAGUUAUUCUGAAAGCACUUGCAUUAUACUAGACUUCAAUCUAGCCAUACAUAACUGUUCUGUGUUCAAGUAUAUCGGCAAAGUGAUAAGUGUGUACCCAUACAUAUCGUUCAUUGUUCGAGUGUAUAGAGAGACAGUCUGAUCUGCGUGCCCUAACCAUUUCGUGUUCGAAGGGUAACAGUGUUUUAAGGUAUUUAUGUUUAUCAUUUCGUGUUCAGGUACAUGGAGAACUAGUGAUAAGUAUCUGUACCUACGCAUAAUGUAUGGUAACUAAUUGAUCUUCCGUAAUAGUGAUGAAAUAUACAACAUGCAUAUGUUUUUUUAUUUGUAUUUUCGUCUUCUGAUUCGUAUUUAUUUU